This 465-nucleotide ribosomal RNA is filed under the name uncultured bacterium. RNAcentral's name for it is "bacterial SSU rRNA". It matches the Rfam family "Bacterial small subunit ribosomal RNA", at positions 338 to 795 of the family's 1533-position model. The record is from RNAcentral.
CCUACGGGUGGCAGCAGUGGGGAAUAUUGCACAAUGGGCGCAAGCCUGAUGCAGCCAUGCCGCGUGUAUGAAGAAGGCCUUCGGGUUGUAAAGUACUUUCAGCGGGGAGGAAGGGAGUAAAGUUAAUACCUUUGCUCAUUGACGUUACCCGCAGAAGAAGCACCGGCUAACUCCGUGCCAGCAGCCGCGGUAAUACGGAGGGUGCAAGCGUUAAUCGGAAUUACUGGGCGUAAAGCGCACGCAGGCGGUUUGUUAAGUCAGAUGUGAAAUCCCCGGGCUCAACCUGGGAACUGCAUCUGAUACUGGCAAGCUUGAGUCUCGUAGAGGGGGGUAGAAUUCCAGGUGUAGCGGUGAAAUGCGUAGAGAUCAGGAGGAACACCAGUGGCGAAGGCGGCUUGCUGGACGGUAACUGACGUUGAGGCUCGAAAGCGUGGGGAGCAAACAGGAUUAGAUACCCCUGUAGUC